Molecule: long non-coding RNA, 462 nt
Filed under: Cairina moschata (Muscovy duck)
Lineage: Eukaryota; Metazoa; Chordata; Aves; Anseriformes; Anatidae
Description: domestica (muscovy Duck (domestic type)) lncRNA (ENSCMMG00000007502.1)
Source: RNAcentral
GAAGAACUAGCAUGGUCUUACUAAGGCUACCAUAAGAGCCUGCUUCUCGCUACAAUUAUUCUUGUUUGAGGUAUCCUGCAAAAGGAACCUGCUCUGAAGAGUUCCUUCACUGUGCAGUCUUUCAGGACCAAGUGUUGUGGACUUGAUAUCAAUUUGCUAACUUCAUCAGUGGUGGGAUUCAUGGUGACCACACGGAGUUUGUAUCAUGCUUCUCAGCCUUCUUCAGAAUCAAAUGGUCUUAGUGGGGAGAAGAUGGUUCACACUGGAGUGGGCUAUUGAGUGACUAUUUUUACACUCUAUUUUUACCUAAACCUUGGCCAUCUAUUGGUUAUCAAUGUAGCAUCUUCAGGGAUGAAGCAUCUUGAUGCGUAAGUUAUUUUUUGUUGAUAUGAUGAAAUGUCAUUUCUAAUGUAUCUGUCUAAAGUAUGUGUCACCCUUAAUUACCAUUCAGAUUCAGUACCA